GACAGUUGCGUAUUGCGUGAAUUCACUCGUGUUGUACGCAAAACCUUUUUUUAUAAUGUCACCUGGCUUGGUGUAUAUGGACAUGCUGUAAUGUUCAUGAACACGACGAAUCGAUUACGUACAUAAUUAUUGUAAGUUGCUGGUGCAUGAAGAAAUGAUAGAUCCAUACCAGCUGGAGAAGUCCUGCAGCCGCAAAGUUUGGUCAGGAGACCUCGCGUGACUUUACAGCCGAGAGUGUGGCAUAUAAUCAUAGUGCGCUAUUGCGCAGGCUGAUCUGGAGCUACGCUAGCCUCAUACGUCAUGAACGCAUUUUCGACAGACGCGGGUCAUAUAAUUCUAUUUAAAAAUGAUGUUUUUUUCAUCUAAUAAAUUUUACAUGAGCUAA
Dreissena polymorpha is the source of this 385-nucleotide long non-coding RNA. RefSeq lists it as uncharacterized. The transcript is spliced from 2 exons. The record is from RefSeq and is a predicted model, not a curated record. NCBI's taxonomy places the organism in Eukaryota, Metazoa, Mollusca, Bivalvia, Myida, Dreissenidae.